CAUGAAAAAAGUUAGUUCCUUUCACAUAUGCAUUUUCUUUUUACUGUUUUAACAGGAAAACAGAUUGCUCUGUUGAGAGUAAGUGGAACGUGCCUCCGUGGAAGUAUUCAAAUCUCAAGUGGGCAAGGCCCUGUGCAAAUUGCUCUCAGUUUGGAGCCCUGAGCAGUGGCUCUAGAGGUCCCUUCCAAUUUUUCCAAGCUGCUGGGUACCUGCAUUGUGCCUUUCUAGCUCAUCUAAGCCAUGCAUUGCAACUCCUUUCCUUGGAAGUGCACUGAUGAAAGACCUGUCUGCAUUUCAGCUUUUUGCAGUCAGCUUCCUUCUUGGACUUCACACACCAGUCUGUAGCUGGAUACUCCAGAACCAGUUGAGGCAAUGACAAAUACAACAGACAGCUCCCACAAAGGUAGGAAGUUUUCUGGACACUCUGUUGGAGCCCAGCCCACUGGACUUUUUCCGCCUUAGGUAUUCUUGGGUCUCCUGGUGCUGUAACAUGACCUGUUAUUAUC
RNAcentral lists this long non-coding RNA (506 nucleotides) under Corvus moneduloides (New Caledonian crow). RNAcentral describes it as "lncRNA (ENSCMUG00000016862.1)". Lineage: Eukaryota; Metazoa; Chordata; Aves; Passeriformes; Corvidae. The record is from RNAcentral.